AGCUCAGUGGUAGAGCACAUGCUUAGCAUGCACGAGGUCCUGGGUUCAAUCCCCAG
Molecule: transfer RNA, 56 nt
Filed under: Camelus bactrianus (Bactrian camel)
Lineage: Eukaryota; Metazoa; Chordata; Mammalia; Artiodactyla; Camelidae
Also listed under: 2 other names
Rfam family: tRNA
About the family: Transfer RNA (tRNA) molecules are approximately 80 nucleotides in length. Their secondary structure includes four short double-helical elements and three loops (D, anti-codon, and T loops). Further hydrogen bonds mediate the characteristic L-shaped molecular structure. tRNAs have two regions of fundamental functional importance: the anti-codon, which is responsible for specific mRNA codon recognition, and the 3' end, to which the tRNAs corresponding amino acid is attached (by aminoacyl-tRNA synthetases). tRNAs cope with the degeneracy of the genetic code in two manners: having more than one tRNA (with a specific anti-codon) for a particular amino acid; and 'wobble' base-pairing, i.e. permitting non-standard base-pairing at the 3rd anti-codon position.
Source: Rfam by way of RNAcentral